UACGAAGUGGGCUAGCGUUGUUCGGAAUUACUGGGCGUAAAGCGCACGUAGGCGGAUUGGCAAGUUAGGGGUGAAAUCCCGGGGCUCAACCCCGGAACUGCCUUUAAAACUGCCGGUCUAGAGUUCGAGAGAGGUGAGUGGAAUUCCGAGUGUAGAGGUGAAAUUCGUAGAUAUUCGGAGGAACACCAGUGGCGAAGGCGGCUCACUGGCUCGAUACUGACGCUGAGGUGCGAAAGCGUGGGGAGCAAAC
RNAcentral lists this ribosomal RNA (250 nucleotides) under uncultured bacterium. RNAcentral describes it as "partial 16S ribosomal RNA". It matches the Rfam family "Bacterial small subunit ribosomal RNA", at positions 524 to 773 of the family's 1533-position model. The record is from RNAcentral.